This 288-nucleotide long non-coding RNA is filed under the name Lotus japonicus. Its description in RNAcentral is "long non-coding RNA (LJAP_LNC001173)". The record is from RNAcentral. Lineage: Eukaryota; Viridiplantae; Streptophyta; Magnoliopsida; Fabales; Fabaceae.
UUAUUGUGUACUUAGUUUGUUGUCUUCCAUUUUUAAGUUAAGGAAAUAAAAUAAAUUAUUGUCUAUAUUUAAAAAAAAUUAAAUUGUUAAGUGUUUAUUGUUUUAAUUUAAUUUAAAACAAUAAUUGUAAUUUUAUGUAAAUAAUAAAAACAAAAAUAUAAAAUUAAAUAAAAAUAUGAAAUAAAAAAGUGGUGGGGUAGGGUGAGUGGUGGGGUAGGGUGUUGAAUGAAAAUCAUUGGAGUGGGUAAUUGUUGAGAGAGUGUUGAAUUGGAGAGAGAAGAUGAUGUG